AGGAACACUUCCUUGUAAAGUUCACGUCCUGAAAAGAUGUUGGAUUUUUGAAUCCAUUAUUCAACAGGGUUGUUCUUAAAUGCAGUUUUGAUUCACUGGAUCCUCUGUAGUGAAUGGGUGCCGUCAGAUGCUUGAUAUUUCUCUCCCGAUUCACACAAUACUUUUUCACAGGAGUGAUUUGCUUCAUUUUUGCAUUUAAUCAGCUGUGUUUUGUGAUUUUUAGUUGGUGUAUGAAGGCAGCUGAACUAUGUUCCAUAAAUGUUUCAUAAACACAAAGUGGUUUUUAUUUCAAACACUUUAUCUAUUGUUUUAACAUUUAAAAUGGUACAAACUUCAAGGUAUGCUUAUGGUUAUGCAAUCCCAGUUUACAAAUAUAUGUUGUAAUGUUCCCAUUAAUUUAUGAAAACAAUAUUUCUGAAUUGUUCUCUAAACAUUUAAAAAAAUGUUCAGUUUUUUAAAUGUUUUGAAUUUUCUUUUUUUCUUGGUUGCAUAAACGUUAAGGAAAUAUUACAUUUUAUUGUUUGUAAACAUUCUGUAAACAAAUUUAAAAUGUCUAAUGAAUGUAGUGCUCAACACUGAUUACUGUCAGACUUCUUCACUUGAAUUAAGAUUAUAAUAAUUUAAUUUUAAAGCACAGCCACCACAAAGUCAGACUUUAGCAACUCUUUUUACUUUGAGGUCAUUAUGAGGUUAAAUACGGAUUUAAAAUCAUAAGUUAGUUUAAUAGUUAUAAGCAUGUGUCAUAUUCUGUGUUGUCAACUCCUGAAACAUUGGUGUCUCAUAUUUUAGAGUAGUCAACGCAAUUUGGGAAAGAAAUCAAUCAAAUCUGUAUGUAUUUUUGUAUUUUUAGCUGUAAUUUAAUUACACAUUACACACAACAGAUUACAGGUAAUUAAAUUACGUAAUUCCGUUACAUGUGACCAGUACUCCCCAACUCUACCUGUGCGUCCAAAUGUGUCCAAAUGUGUCGGGGGUCUCUCGUUUUGUACAGUGUCUCGGCUGUAGCUCCUCUGUCCGGUAGAGGGCGCGCUCUCCCGCUGCAGUUCUCGGUCUGUCCGUGCGGCGGCGCUGUGAGGCCGGUCCCGCUGGAACACGUCCGUGAGUGUGAGUCCCGGGGGCUGGAGCGCAGGAUGGCGGCGGUCGGUGCUGCUGCUGCUGAGGCCGAGUCGUCGGACAGUGAGCCGGAGCAGGAGCACGGAUCCCCGCAGAAGCUCAUUCGGAAGGUCUCCACGUCCGGUCAGAUCCGGAGCAAGGUUUGAGGAUCUUCAGCAUCUGAGCUGGAAAAUCAAAGGUUGAAUUAUGAGUUAUCGCUGUAGUGUUCACUAAUCAGUGUUUGUGAUCAGAAUCAUACUUACAACAGUGUUGACAUUUUGAGCUUGUUCCGUUACUGACAAACAGCUAAACGUCAGAUAAAGUGAUAGAGAACUUGUUCUUGCAGAAUUCACUUCCUGACAGCUUGAUCUUGUCAUUUUGACAGAAUUCUUUGAUUAAGUGCGUUCUUGUUGUACGUUGGAUCUGGUUUCAUUAAUGCAUAUCCCGAUUGCCCUUUUCGAAAGACUCAAAAAUAAACAUUCAAAGUCAUGUUUUUGCCA
Cyprinus carpio (common carp) is the source of this 1592-nucleotide long non-coding RNA. Lineage: Eukaryota; Metazoa; Chordata; Actinopteri; Cypriniformes; Cyprinidae. The record is from Ensembl.